GGAAGGGUGCAAGCGUUACUCGGAAUUACUGGGCGUAAAGCGUGCGUAGGUGGUGAGUUAAGUCUGUCGUGAAAGCCCCGGGCUCAACCUGGGAAUGGCGAUGGAUACUGGCUCGCUAGAGUGCGGUAGAGGAGAGUGGAAUUCCCGGUGUAGCAGUGAAAUGCGUAGAGAUCGGGAGGAACAUCAGUUGCGAAGGCGGCUCUCUGGACCAGCACUGACACUGAGGCACGAAAGCGUGGGGAGCAAACAGGAUUAGAUACCCUGGUAGUCCACGCCCUAAACGAUGCGAACUGGACGUUGGGAGCAAUCAGGCUCUCAGUGUCGAAGCUAACGCGUUAAGUUCGCCGCCUGGGGAGUACGGUCGCAAGACUG
Molecule: ribosomal RNA, 372 nt
Filed under: uncultured bacterium
Lineage: Bacteria
Description: bacterial SSU rRNA
Rfam family: Bacterial small subunit ribosomal RNA
Source: RNAcentral